This 443-nucleotide ribosomal RNA is filed under the name uncultured bacterium. Its description in RNAcentral is "partial 16S ribosomal RNA". It matches the Rfam family "Bacterial small subunit ribosomal RNA", at positions 338 to 795 of the family's 1533-position model. The record is from RNAcentral.
CCUACGGGCGACUGCAGUGGGGAAUAUUGGGCAAUGGGCGCAAGCCUGACCCAGCAACGCCGCGUGAAGGAAGAAGGUUCUCGGGUUGGAAACUCCUUUUGUCAGGGACGAAGCAAGUGACGGUACCUGACGAAUAAGCCAUGGCUAACUACGUGCCAGCAGCCGCGGUAAUACGUAGGUGGCAAGUGUUAUCCGGAUUUACUGGGUGUAAAGGGCGUGUAGGCGGGACUGGAAGUCAGAUGGGAAAACGACGGGCUCAACCUGUGGCCUGCCUUUGAAACUGUAGUUCUUGAGUACUGGAGAGGCAGGCGGAAUUCCUGGUGUAGCGGUGAAAUGCGUAGAUAUUAGGAGGAACACCGGUGGCGAAGGCGGUCUGCUGGACAGCGACUGACGCUGAGGCGCGAAAGCGUGGGGAGCGAACAGGAUUAGAUACCCUGGUAGUC